CCCCUAGAUGUUCUGGGCCGCACGCGCGCUACACUGAACAGUUCAACAAGUCUUAACCUUGGCCGAUAGGUCUGGGCAAUCUUUGAACGCUGGUCGUGAUGGGGAUAGACUUUUGCAAUUUUUGGUCUUCAACGAGGAAUUCCUAGUAAACGCAAGUCAUCAGCUUGCAUUGAUUACGUCCCUGCCCUUUGUACACACCGCCCGUCGCACCUACCGAUUGAAUGGUCCGGUGAAAUCUCGGGACGGCGGCUUGGUCGCUUGCGUCCGACUGCUGAAACUUGAUUAAACCAUAUCAUUUAGAGGAAGGUGAAGUCGUAACA
RNAcentral lists this ribosomal RNA (320 nucleotides) under uncultured eukaryote. Its description in RNAcentral is "partial 18S ribosomal RNA". It matches the Rfam family "Eukaryotic small subunit ribosomal RNA", at positions 1470 to 1796 of the family's 1831-position model. The record is from RNAcentral.